RNAcentral lists this unclassified non-coding RNA (499 nucleotides) under uncultured Glomus. RNAcentral describes it as "SSU rRNA". It matches the Rfam family "Eukaryotic small subunit ribosomal RNA", at positions 591 to 1092 of the family's 1831-position model. Lineage: Eukaryota; Fungi; Glomeromycota; Glomeromycetes; Glomerales; Glomeraceae. The record is from RNAcentral.
CCAAUAGCGUAUAUUAAAGUUGCUGCAGUUAAAAAGCUCGUAGUUGAAUUUCGGGACUAAUAUGUCGGUCGUGCCUCGGUACGUACUGGUAUUUUUGGUUUCUCCCUUCUGACGAACCUUGAUGUCAUUAAUUUGGUGUCUUGGGAAAUCAGGACUGUUACUUUGAAAAAAUUAGAGUGUUUAAAGCAGGCUCACGCUUGAAUACAUUAGCAUGGAAUAAUGAAAUAGGACGUUUGAUUCUAUUUUGUUGGUUUCUAGGAUCGACGUAAUGAUUAAUAGGGAUAGUUGGGGGCAUUAGUAGUCAAGUGUCAGAGGUGAAAUUCUUGGAUUUAUUGAAGACUAACUACUGCGAAAGCAUUUGCCAAGGAUGUUUUCAUUAAUCAAGAACGAAAGUUAGGGGAUCGAAGACGAUCAGAUACCGUCGUAGUCUUAACCAUAAACUAUGCCGACUAGGGAUCGGAUGAUGUUAAUUUUUUAAGGACUCAUUCGGCGCCUUACG